GAUGAACGCUGGCGGCGUGCCUAAUACAUGCAAGUCGAACGCUGGAAAUCUAGCUUGCUAGAUUGAAGGAGUGGCGAACGGGUGAGUAAUACAUAAGCAACCUACCCACGAAGACUGGGAUAAUCUCUGGAAACGGGGACUAAUACCGGAUAGGUAAUCGGAAGGCAUCUUCUGAUUAUUAAAGGUUAAAAACACUGGUGAAUGGGCUUAUGGCGCAUUAGUUAGUUGGUGAGGUAACGGCCCACCAAGACGAUGAUGCGUAGCCGGCCUGAGAGGGUGAACGGCCACAUUGGGACUGAGACACGGCCCAGACUACUACGUGAGGCAGCAGUAGGGAAUUUGCGGCAAUGGGGGAAACCCUGACCGAGCAACGCCGCGUGAGUGAUCACGGCCUUCGGGUUGUAAAGCUCUGUUGUAAGGGAAGAACGGUAGAUAGAGAAUAUCUAAAUGACGGUACCUUACCAGAAAGCCACGGCUAACUACGUG
Molecule: ribosomal RNA, 486 nt
Filed under: uncultured bacterium
Lineage: Bacteria
Description: partial 16S ribosomal RNA
Rfam family: Bacterial small subunit ribosomal RNA
Source: RNAcentral